CUCAGUAACACGUGGAUAAUCUGCCCUUAGGUGGAGGAUAAUCUCGGGAAACUGAGGAUAAUAUUCCAUAGAUCUAGGAUGCUGGAAUGCAUCUAGAUUGAAAGCUCCGGCGCCUAAGGAUGAGUCUGCGGACUAUCAGGUUGUAGUCAGGGUAAAGACCUGACUAGCCUACGACGGAUACGGGUUGUGAGAGCAAUAACCCGGAGACGAUAUCUGAGACACGAUAUCGGGCCCUACGGGGCGCAGCAGGCGCGAAAACUUCACACUGUGCGAAAGCGCGAUGAGGGAAUCCCAAGUGUUUGCUCGUAAGAGUAAACUGUUUCUUUGUUUAAAACGCAGAGAGAGUAAGGGCUGGGUAAGACGGGUGCCAGCCGCCGCGGUAAUACCUGCAGCUCAAGUGGUGAUCAUUAUUAUUGGGCCUAAAACGUCCGUAGCCGGUUUAGUAAAUGCCUGGGUAAAUCGUGUAGCUUAACUAUACGACUUCCGGGUAGACUACUAAACUUGAGACCGGGAGAGGCUAGAGGUACUCCUGGGGUAGAGGUGAAAUUCUGUAAUCCUAGGGGGACCACCAGUGGCGAAGGCGUCUAGCUAGAACGGGUCUGACGGUGAGGGACGAAGCCCUGGGGCACAAACCGGAUUAGAUACCCGGGUAGUCCAGGGUGUAAACGCUGCUUGCUUGAUGUUAGUUGGGCUCCGAGCCCAACUAGUGUCGGAGAGAAGUUGUUAAGCAAGCUGCCUGGGAAGUACGGUCGCAAGGCUGAAACUAAAG
RNAcentral lists this ribosomal RNA (769 nucleotides) under uncultured archaeon. RNAcentral's name for it is "bacterial SSU rRNA". It matches the Rfam family "Archaeal small subunit ribosomal RNA", at positions 89 to 861 of the family's 1478-position model. The record is from RNAcentral.